RNAcentral lists this unclassified non-coding RNA (288 nucleotides) under Hevea brasiliensis (rubber tree). Lineage: Eukaryota; Viridiplantae; Streptophyta; Magnoliopsida; Malpighiales; Euphorbiaceae. The record is from RNAcentral.
GCCUUGAUUGAUUGAUUGCGUGCUUUGAAGACUAUCAACCUCAAAAGUGCCGUCAUUACCCAGGUUUCUUCUAUACUGGGCAUUGGCCAGCCUCCUUUCAAGUGGAGUUUUCCUUGUGCUCACAACAAAUCUAUUGACUCCUUUCCUCAGUGGAAUGAUUUCAGGGAAAUCUUCAUCAGCUAUGGCACUGCUCAUCAUGUCUGAAGAACGCUGAGAAAGUUUGCUAAACCACCGUUGUGCCUUCUCUUCAUUGGCAGCUAGCCUGCCAUCCACAUCAGCCUUAUUUGU